Molecule: ribosomal RNA, 1162 nt
Filed under: Campylobacter jejuni
Lineage: Bacteria; Pseudomonadati; Campylobacterota; Epsilonproteobacteria; Campylobacterales; Campylobacteraceae
Description: partial 23S ribosomal RNA
Rfam family: Bacterial large subunit ribosomal RNA
Source: RNAcentral
UAAGAGCGAAUGGUGGAUGCCUUGACUGGUAAAGGCGAUGAAGGACGUACUAGACUGCGAUAAGCUACGGGGAGCUGUCAAGAAGCUUUGAUCCGUAGAUUUCCGAAUGGGGCAACCCAAUGUAUAGAGAUAUACAUUACCUAUAUAGGAGCGAACGAGGGGAAUUGAAACAUCUUAGUACCCUCAGGAAAAGAAAUCAAUAGAGAUUGCGUCAGUAGCGGCGAGCGAAAGCGCAAGAGGGCAAACCCAGUGCUUGCACUGGGGGUUGUAGGACUGCAAUGUGCAAGAGGUAAGUUUAGCAGAACAUUCUGGAAAGUAUAACCAUAGAGGGUGAUAGUCCCGUAUGCGAAAAACAAACCUUAGCUAGCAGUAUCCUGAGUAGGGCGGGACACGAGGAAUCCUGUCUGAAUCCGGGUCGACCACGAUCCAACCCUAAAUACUAAUACCAGAUCGAUAGUGCACAAGUACCGUGAGGGAAAGGUGAAAAGAACUGAGGUGAUCAGAGUGAAAUAGAACCUGAAACCAUUUGCUUACAAUCAUUCAGAGCCCUAUGUAGCAAUACAGGGUGAUGGACUGCCUUUUGCAUAAUGAGCCUGCGAGUUGUGGUGUCUGGCAAGGUUAAGCAAACGCGAAGCCGUAGCGAAAGCGAGUCUGAAUAGGGCGCUUAGUCAGAUGCUGCAGACCCGAAACGAAGUGAUCUAUCCAUGAGCAAGUUGAAGCUAGUGUAAGAACUAGUGGAGGACUGAACCCAUAGGCGUUGAAAAGCCCCGGGAUGACUUGUGGAUAGGGGUGAAAGGCCAAUCAAACUUCGUGAUAGCUGGUUCUCUCCGAAAUAUAUUUAGGUAUAGCGUUGUGUCGUAAUAUAAGGGGGUAGAGCACUGAAUGGGCUAGGGCAUACACCAAUGUACCAAACCCUAUCAAACUCCGAAUACCUUAUAUGUAAUCACAGCAGUCAGGCGGCGAGUGAUAAAAUCCGUCGUCAAGAGGGAAACAACCCAGACUACCAGCUAAGGUCCCUAAAUCUUACUUAAGUGGAAAACGAUGUGAAGUUACUUAAACAACCAGGAGGUUGGCUUAGAAGCAGCCAUCCUUUAAAGAAAGCGUAAUAGCUCACUGGUCUAGUGAUUUUGCGCGGAAAAUAUAACGGGGCUAAAGUAAGUAC